ACACUCUUGUUUCACUCAGAUCGCAUAAAUCUUUCGCCUUUUACUAAAGAUUUCCGUGGAGUGGAACAUUUUCAGUAUUCAACAAUUUUACUGCGGGGCAUACUAAACUGUCCA
Molecule: small nuclear RNA, 114 nt
Organism: Gadus chalcogrammus (walleye pollock)
Lineage: Eukaryota; Metazoa; Chordata; Actinopteri; Gadiformes; Gadidae
Product: U5 spliceosomal RNA
Exons: 1
Source: RefSeq, a predicted model, not a curated record